Molecule: small nuclear RNA, 106 nt
Organism: Manis pentadactyla (Chinese pangolin)
Lineage: Eukaryota; Metazoa; Chordata; Mammalia; Pholidota; Manidae
Source: RefSeq, a predicted model, not a curated record
GUGCUCCCUUUGGCAGCACGUAUACUAAAAUGGGAAUGAUACGAGAAGAUUAGCGUGGCCCCUGUGCAAGGAUCACACACAAAUUCGUGAAGCGUUCCGAAUUAAA